This 250-nucleotide ribosomal RNA is filed under the name uncultured bacterium. Its description in RNAcentral is "partial 16S ribosomal RNA". It matches the Rfam family "Bacterial small subunit ribosomal RNA", at positions 524 to 773 of the family's 1533-position model. The record is from RNAcentral.
UGCGGAGGAUGCGAGCGUUAUCCGGAUUUAUUGGGUUUAAAGGGUGCGUAGGCGGUUCUGCAAGUCAGUUGUGAAAACUAUGGGCUUAACCCCGGGGCUGCAUUUGAAACUGCUUAUCUUGAGUGAUGGAGAGGCAGGCGGAAUUCCCGGUGUAGCGGUGGAAUGCGUAGAUAUCGGGAGGAACACCAGUGGCGAAGGCGGCCCCCUGGACAAAGACUGACGCUCAGGUGCGAAAGCGUGGGGAGCAAAC